This 270-nucleotide long non-coding RNA is filed under the name Homo sapiens (human). RNAcentral's name for it is "HSALNT0371685". Lineage: Eukaryota; Metazoa; Chordata; Mammalia; Primates; Hominidae. The record is from RNAcentral.
CUUGAGAUGGAGUAUCACUCUGUUGCCCAGGCUAGACUGCAGUGGCUCGAUUUUGGCUCACUGAAACCUCCGCCUCCCAGGUUCAAUCGACUCUCCUGCCUCAGCCUCCCAGGUAGCUGGGAUUAUAGGUGCCCACCACCACGCCAGGCUAAUUUUUGUAUUUUUAGUAGAGACGGGGUUUCGCCACGUUGGCUAGGCUGGUCUCGAACUCCUGACCUCAGAUGAGCCGCCCACCUCGGCCUCCCAAAGUGCUGGGAUUACAGGCGUGAG